GCAUCCGUAGCUCAGCUGGAUAGAGUACUCGGCUACGAACCGAGCGGUAGGAGGUUCGAAUCCUCCCGGAUGCACCA
This 77-nucleotide transfer RNA is filed under the name Escherichia coli. RNAcentral's name for it is "tRNA-Arg". It matches the Rfam family "tRNA". Rfam says of the family: Transfer RNA (tRNA) molecules are approximately 80 nucleotides in length. Lineage: Bacteria; Pseudomonadati; Pseudomonadota; Gammaproteobacteria; Enterobacterales; Enterobacteriaceae. RNAcentral also lists the same sequence under 12 other names. The record is from RNAcentral.